This 75-nucleotide transfer RNA is filed under the name Candidatus Shapirobacteria bacterium CG03_land_8_20_14_0_80_39_12. Its description in RNAcentral is "tRNA-Arg". It matches the Rfam family "tRNA". Rfam says of the family: Transfer RNA (tRNA) molecules are approximately 80 nucleotides in length. The record is from RNAcentral. Lineage: Bacteria; Candidatus Shapironibacteriota.
GUCCCUGUAGCGCAACGGAUAGAGCAUCAGUUUCCGGAACUGAAAAUGUGGGUUCAAUUCCCGCCAGGGACACAA